CUCAAACUCAAUCAUCUUCAGUUCUCUAGAACUGUCUGGAAAAGCCCAUCCAGCGAACUCAUUUGCAAAUUCCUCCCAUGUCAUGCCGUCUAGUCUUGGGUCCACAUAACACUUGAACCAUUCCCGUGCCUUUUUGCACUUUAAAGUGAACCCUGCCAUCUGAAUGGCCCUGCUGUCAUCUGCCCCUAGCUCAUCAGUUAUCGUCUUCA
Molecule: long non-coding RNA, 209 nt
Filed under: Manihot esculenta (cassava)
Lineage: Eukaryota; Viridiplantae; Streptophyta; Magnoliopsida; Malpighiales; Euphorbiaceae
Description: long non-coding RNA (MESC_LNC007796)
Source: RNAcentral